CGAUGUAGAAGCUGAUACGAGAAUUUGAAUUUGUUAAGAGUUUUUGAGACGUAAUUGACAUUGUUAAACCGGUUUGGCUGCUUUCAGAUUGUUAGGGUUUUGGCUGACUGGACUGAGAAAGACAUGGUUAGGAUUUUGGAUGUAGAGCUGUACAGACAUACGGACGAUGUCUUCGAUGGUCCUGCGCAUGGGGCGCCACCCGCGCACGUUAGCUUUUGCAGAUUGUGGCGAAAGAACGAUGCGCCGCGACCACCACGGGUGUGCUUGGCUAGCUUUAAUGCCCGAUUCAUAUUGGCUCAUCAGGUCAGGCCUAGGCCCACGAGUUCUUCAUUCAUUGGGCCGCGCUUGCCCGGUCCGUACCCAGUGCUGCUGCCAAAAAAUCAACUGGGCCAACCCGGUUCAAUAAUUAUAUUAAUCCAGCUUGGGUUAAUGUCUUCAAAUCAUAUAUAUAAAUGCAAGGUUCUCAAAAAGGUAGAUACGUAAAUGAAUUGAACCAUUGAAUUCAGCUUGAGAUUGGC
Molecule: long non-coding RNA, 518 nt
Filed under: Vitis vinifera (wine grape)
Lineage: Eukaryota; Viridiplantae; Streptophyta; Magnoliopsida; Vitales; Vitaceae
Description: long non-coding RNA (VVIN_LNC007650)
Source: RNAcentral